CUUGGAGUGAAUUUGGAGAAAAAUGUGGCUUUAAAGCAGGAUGCAACCCACGGUAGCAUUUCAAAUCCCAACUAUAUAUUUGGAGUGGAUCCACAUCAAGCCUCAUUUGUUUCAGAGAAGAAAAAACCCAUGUUUCUUUCUAAGAAAUGGAGAAAUCUUCUUUGCAGGUGUAAUGCUUGCACAGAAUUCUAUGUCCAAAAGGGCAUUGGCUAUCUAAUUGAUGAGGACUCAAUUGAGGAAUAUGAAAAGGUGGCAAAGGAAAAGAGGAAGGAGAAAUUAGAGCAACAAGAAGGAGUGGAGUUAAAUUUUCUCAGCAAACUUGGUCAUGUCCAAAAGAUUGAGAUUCUGAAUGGCAUUGCUGACAUGAAGAAUGAGCUCAGGUGCAAUCAAAUGCACAGCUAGUGAGAAAAGGGAAGUGCCAUUUUUAGGUCUUCCAUUUAAUUAGUAUUGAGAGUUUGCAGAGUUUUAGAUCAUAAGGAUUUGAAAUCAGUGUUGAUAUUACUUCAGAUUACAGGUAAUGCACUUACAUCUUUUUGAAAAUUUUAUAUCUGGUGCUAUUUGUUAGG
Long non-coding RNA from Magnolia sinica, 566 nucleotides. RefSeq lists it as uncharacterized. Lineage: Eukaryota; Viridiplantae; Streptophyta; Magnoliopsida; Magnoliales; Magnoliaceae. The record is from RefSeq and is a predicted model, not a curated record. The transcript is spliced from 2 exons.